GUGCCAGAAGUUUCGGUUAUGCAAAUAGGACAAGUAGUUUACGUUAAAGGUUUAAAGGAUUAGUAGACGGUAAGAAAUUACUAGAAUAAAAUAUAGUAUUUAAUGAAAAACAGAAGUAAAAGUUAAAUUUUAUAAUUUUUGUUAGACAACCAUUAUAUGAAAGUAUUAAAUAGAUAUUUUAUUGACGUUGAGAUAAUGAAACCUAAGGUAUCAAGUUGGACUUGUUAACCAAUUAGUCUUAGGUGUAAACGAUGUAUAUUAAAAAAGAAAUAAUCUUAAAAUUUCUUUUUGAAGAUAAUUUAUAAUAUACCACCUGAAAAGUAUAAUACAGAAUUGAAAUUUAAAACAAUAGGCCGUUUAGUUUAUUAACAGUGGAUCAUGUUAUUUAAU
This 390-nucleotide ribosomal RNA is filed under the name Wickerhamiella occidentalis. Its description in RNAcentral is "SSU rRNA". It matches the Rfam family "Bacterial small subunit ribosomal RNA", at positions 505 to 950 of the family's 1533-position model. Lineage: Eukaryota; Fungi; Ascomycota; Dipodascomycetes; Dipodascales; Trichomonascaceae. The record is from RNAcentral.